GAGACUACGGCAGUGCACUCCCA
Molecule: ribosomal RNA, 23 nt
Filed under: Fusarium lateritium
Lineage: Eukaryota; Fungi; Ascomycota; Sordariomycetes; Hypocreales; Nectriaceae
Description: partial 18S ribosomal RNA
Source: RNAcentral